This is a non-coding RNA of Gopherus flavomarginatus (Mexican gopher tortoise), 73 nucleotides long. The record is from the annotation of a RefSeq genome assembly. Lineage: Eukaryota; Metazoa; Chordata; Testudines; Testudinidae.
GCCAAAGUAGCUGAGUUGGGAAAGCAUUAGACUGAAGAUCUAAAGGUCCCUGAUGCAAUCCCAGGCUUUGGCA